This 433-nucleotide ribosomal RNA is filed under the name uncultured bacterium. RNAcentral describes it as "partial 16S ribosomal RNA". It matches the Rfam family "Bacterial small subunit ribosomal RNA", at positions 29 to 507 of the family's 1533-position model. The record is from RNAcentral.
AGCGAACGCUGGCGGCAGGCCUAACACAUGCAAGUCGAACGAACUCUUCGGAGUUAGUGGCGGACGGGUGAGUAACACGUGGGAACGUGCCUUUUGGUUCGGAAUAACUCAGGGAAACUUGUGCUAAUACCGAAUGUGCCCUUCGGGGGAAAGAUUUAUCGCCAUUAGAGCGGCCCGCGUCUGAUUAGCUAGUUGGAGAGGUAACGGCUCACCAAGGCGACGAUCAGUAGCUGGUCUGAGAGGAUGACCAGCCACACUGGGACUGAGACACGGCCCAGACUCCUACGGGAGGCAGCAGUGGGGAAUCUUGCGCAAUGGGCGAAAGCCUGACGCAGCCAUGCCGCGUGAAUGAUGAAGGUCUUAGGAUUGUAAAAUUCUUUCACCGGGGACGAUAAUGACGGUACCCGGAGAAGAAGCCCCGGCUAACUUCGUG